AUUACUGGACCAAGCACCUAGGCCCUGCAUUUAUUGUGUAUUGUGACAUAUGGCUUGGUCCAACACCUAGGUGGUGUGACUCUCUACUUCUUCCUGUGCCAUGCCAAAGAAGAGGAUUGUGACAUAUCACUGGAUCCAGCACCUAGGUCUUUUCCCACAGGGAGCAUUGUGAAAUAUCACUGGGCUCAGCCCCCAGGUUAUGUGACCUUUCUGCCUUGCCCUGCUCCCAGGAAAUGUUGUGACAUCCCUCAUACAGCACCCAGUCCUCAGGUGGUGCAGAAAGAGUUCCAACAGAGCCCAGCACACAGGUGAGACUGUGCCACUCAUAUGCACACCCAGUCAACAGUAAAGAUUGUCAUUCUGUCUCAUGAAAACAGCCAAUGAUUGAGCUUCUGAAUCUCAGACUUGGAGGCAGUCAAAAGUUAGAAAAUUGACUAUCAUACCUGGAUCUCAUUCACAGGUGGGUUUGUGACUCUCAGAUUCAACACAACUCUGAGGCUGUGACUUCAUUAAGGAGAUACAGUCCACACGAGGAAUUAAGGGUCUCAUGGACAGAUUAGUCUACCAUCUAGAUUGUGACUCUUUACGUAGGCCCAACAUACAUGAGCUAUUGAAUCUUACACCUCGAACCUAGAUACAUAUGGGAUUGUUAAUCUCAUACCUGGACAUUCCUGCAGGUGUGAUUGUGACAUAGAUUCUGCCUGUCAUGUGACUGAUUUAACUCUACUCCCUGGGCCCAGCCCAGAGCUGAAAUUAUAAAAUUUCAUUGAAAGCAGCAAUUAGGUGAUGUAGCUGCAUGCUCCUGCCUUAGCAUUGCCAAAAGGGAGCAUUGUGACAUAUUGCUUGGCCUUGCACCCAGGUGAUGUGAGUCUCUUCUGCCUUCAUGCUGCCCACAGGCAGCACUGUCACAUAUCACUUGGCACCACAUUCAGGUUAUGUGACUCUCCUGCCUGUGCCCUGCCCAUAUGGGCCAUUUUGACAUGUAGCUGAGUCUGAUACCCAGGUGAUGUAACUCUCUGGCCUGGCCCUGCCUACUAGGUUUUCUGUGACAUAUCUAUGCACCAAUCAACUUUGUGUUUUGAUAAUCCUCUUCUACCAAUUUCUGCUCAAAAGAAGGAUUUUGACAAAUAAUUGGGACCAGCACCUAGCUGAGGUUACUCUACUCUUCUUUCAAGGUUUGGUUUGCAGGGGAUGUUGUGACAUUGCUAGGCUAACAGACAGGUGAUAUUCUUCUGCCUUGGCUCUUCCAAAAUAAAGCAUUUUUACAUA
This is a long non-coding RNA of Homo sapiens (human), 1269 nucleotides long. NCBI's taxonomy places the organism in Eukaryota, Metazoa, Chordata, Mammalia, Primates, Hominidae. The record is from Ensembl.